AGUGUGAGUCGGUGCGAUUAGG
RNAcentral lists this microRNA (22 nucleotides) under Solanum tuberosum (potato). Its description in RNAcentral is "stu-miR8032f-3p". The record is from miRBase by way of RNAcentral. Lineage: Eukaryota; Viridiplantae; Streptophyta; Magnoliopsida; Solanales; Solanaceae.